Molecule: long non-coding RNA, 396 nt
Filed under: Pongo abelii (Sumatran orangutan)
Lineage: Eukaryota; Metazoa; Chordata; Mammalia; Primates; Hominidae
Description: lincRNA
Source: RNAcentral
GGAAGGGAGUGUAUCCUGGUGUAUGACAGCAUAUAGUAGAGACCAUUGUCAGUUAGAGCCUGUGAACUGAGACAGGGUGACUGGCUAAGUCCACAACCCAUUAGAAACCCAGAAAUAAUCAAAUCAUGGCUCCUCCUUGAGUUAUUGGGAGUAAGUAAUGCUUCUCAAUAAAGCUUCGUGUCAACAAAUCUGAACAUAUCUCAGCUAGAGCAAGUUACUAAAAAUAGGCUCAAUUUGUAGCUUGCAGUCAUGCCUUCAUAACCACUUUUCAAUUAAUCCUGCUUAAUUCAGAGAAUGUAUAAAUAUGUAAUUUUGCAUCACUUUUAAGGCAGCCAUUUUACUUGGAAAUGCAACUAACAUUAUAUGCAUAAAUUCAAUAAAUACAAAGCUGUUUUC